RNAcentral lists this ribosomal RNA (2650 nucleotides) under Klebsiella pneumoniae. RNAcentral's name for it is "bacterial LSU rRNA". It matches the Rfam family "Bacterial large subunit ribosomal RNA". Lineage: Bacteria; Pseudomonadati; Pseudomonadota; Gammaproteobacteria; Enterobacterales; Enterobacteriaceae. The record is from RNAcentral.
CACUAUCGUUAACUGAAUACAUAGGUUAACGAGGCGAACCGGGGGAACUGAAACAUCUAAGUACCCCGAGGAAAAGAAAUCAACCGAGAUUCCCCCAGUAGCGGCGAGCGAACGGGGAGCAGCCCAGAGUCUGAAUCAGCUUGUGUGUUAGUGGAACGGUCUGGAAAGUCCGACGGUACAGGGUGAUAGUCCCGUACACCAAAAUGCACAGGUUGUGAACUCGAAGAGUAGGGCGGGACACGUGGUAUCCUGUCUGAAUAUGGGGGGACCAUCCUCCAAGGCUAAAUACUCCUGACUGACCGAUAGUGAACCAGUACCGUGAGGGAAAGGCGAAAAGAACCCCGGCGAGGGGAGUGAAAAAGAACCUGAAACCGUGUACGUACAAGCAGUGGGAGCACCUUCGGGUGUGACUGCGUACCUUUUGUAUAAUGGGUCAGCGACUUAUAUUCUGUAGCAAGGUUAACCGUAUAGGGGAGCCGCAGGGAAACCGAGUCUUAACUGGGCGUUAAGUUGCAGGGUAUAGACCCGAAACCCGGUGAUCUAGCCAUGGGCAGGUUGAAGGUUGGGUAACACUAACUGGAGGACCGAACCGACUAAUGUUGAAAAAUUAGCGGAUGACUUGUGGCUGGGGGUGAAAGGCCAAUCAAACCGGGAGAUAGCUGGUUCUCCCCGAAAGCUAUUUAGGUAGCGCCUCGUGAACUCAUCUUCGGGGGUAGAGCACUGUUUCGGCUAGGGGGUCAUCCCGACUUACCAACCCGAUGCAAACUACGAAUACCGAAGAAUGUUAUCACGGGAGACACACGGCGGGUGCUAACGUCCGUCGUGAAGAGGGAAACAACCCAGACCGCCAGCUAAGGUCCCAAAGUCAUGGUUAAGUGGGAAACGAUGUGGGAAGGCACAGACAGCCAGGAUGUUGGCUUAGAAGCAGCCAUCAUUUAAAGAAAGCGUAAUAGCUCACUGGUCGAGUCGGCCUGCGCGGAAGAUGUAACGGGGCUAAACCAUGCACCGAAGCUGCGGCAGCGACACUAUGUGUUGUUGGGUAGGGGAGCGUUCUGUAAGCCUGCGAAGGUGUGCUGUGAGGCAUGCUGGAGGUAUCAGAAGUGCGAAUGCUGACAUAAGUAACGAUAAAGCGGGUGAAAAGCCCGCUCGCCGGAAGACCAAGGGUUCCUGUCCAACGUUAAUCGGGGCAGGGUGAGUCGACCCCUAAGGCGAGGCCGAAAGGCGUAGUCGAUGGGAAACAGGUUAAUAUUCCUGUACUUGGUGUUACUGCGAAGGGGGGACGGAGAAGGCUAUGUUAGCCGGGCGACGGUUGUCCCGGUUUAAGCAUGUAGGCUGAUUGUCCAGGCAAAUCCGGAUAAUCAAGGCUGAGGUGUGAUGACGAGGCACUACGGUGCUGAAGUAACAAAUGCCCUGCUUCCAGGAAAAGCCUCUAAGCAUCAGGUAACAUCAAAUCGUACCCCAAACCGACACAGGUGGUCAGGUAGAGAAUACCAAGGCGCUUGAGAGAACUCGGGUGAAGGAACUAGGCAAAAUGGUGCCGUAACUUCGGGAGAAGGCACGCUGGUGUGUAGGUGAAGUCCCUGCGGAUGGAGCUGAGACCAGUCGAAGAUACCAGCUGGCUGCAACUGUUUAUUAAAAACACAGCACUGUGCAAACACGAAAGUGGACGUAUACGGUGUGACGCCUGCCCGGUGCCGGAAGGUUAAUUGAUGGGGUUAUCCGUAAGGAGAAGCUCUUGAUCGAAGCCCCGGUAAACGGCGGCCGUAACUAUAACGGUCCUAAGGUAGCGAAAUUCCUUGUCGGGUAAGUUCCGACCUGCACGAAUGGCGUAAUGAUGGCCAGGCUGUCUCCACCCGAGACUCAGUGAAAUUGAACUCGCUGUGAAGAUGCAGUGUACCCGCGGCAAGACGGAAAGACCCCGUGAACCUUUACUAUAGCUUGACACUGAACAUUGAGCCUUGAUGUGUAGGAUAGGUGGGAGGCUUUGAAGCGUGGACGCCAGUCUGCGUGGAGCCAACCUUGAAAUACCACCCUUUAAUGUUUGAUGUUCUAACGUUGGCCCCUGACCGGGGUUGCGGACAGUGUCUGGUGGGUAGUUUGACUGGGGCGGUCUCCUCCCAAAGCGUAACGGAGGAGCACGAAGGUUAGCUAAUCCUGGUCGGACAUCAGGAGGUUAGUGCAAUGGCAUAAGCUAGCUUGACUGCGAGCGUGACGGCGCGAGCAGGUGCGAAAGCAGGUCAUAGUGAUCCGGUGGUUCUGAAUGGAAGGGCCAUCGCUCAACGGAUAAAAGGUACUCCGGGGAUAACAGGCUGAUACCGCCCAAGAGUUCAUAUCGACGGCGGUGUUUGGCACCUCGAUGUCGGCUCAUCACAUCCUGGGGCUGAAGUAGGUCCCAAGGGUAUGGCUGUUCGCCAUUUAAAGUGGUACGCGAGCUGGGUUUAGAACGUCGUGAGACAGUUCGGUCCCUAUCUGCCGUGGGCGCUGGAGAAUUGAGGGGGGCUGCUCCUAGUACGAGAGGACCGGAGUGGACGCAUCACUGGUGUUCGGGUUGUCAUGCCAAUGGCACUGCCCGGUAGCUAAAUGCGGAAGAGAUAAGUGCUGAAAGCAUCUAAGCACGAAACUUGCCCCGAGAUGAGUUCUCCCUGAGACU